GAUGAACGCUAGCUACAGGCUUAACACAUGCAAGUCGCGGGGCAGCAUGGGGGUUGCUUGCAAUCCCCGAUGGCGACCGGCGCACGGGUGAGUAACGCGUAUCCAACCUGCCCUUCACCACGGGAUAACCCGGCGAAAGUCGGACUAAUACCGUAUGUUGUCCAUUGACGGCAUCCGAUUUGGACGAAAGGUUUGGCGGUGAAGGAUGGGGAUGCGUCCGAUUAGCUGGACGGCGGGGUGACGGCCCACCGUGGCGACGAUCGGUAGGGGUUCUGAGAGGAAGGUACCCCACACUGGAACUGAGACACGGUCCAGACUCCUACGGGAGGCAGCAGUGAGGAAUAUUGGUCAAUGGGCGUAAGCCUGAACCAGCCAAGUAGCGUGCAGGAUGACGGCCCUAUGGGUUGUAAACUGCUUUUAUGCGGGGAUAAAGUGGCCCACGUGUGGGUUUUUGCAGGUACCGCAUGAAUAAGGACCGGCUAAUUCCGUG
Molecule: ribosomal RNA, 490 nt
Filed under: uncultured bacterium
Lineage: Bacteria
Description: partial 16S ribosomal RNA
Rfam family: Bacterial small subunit ribosomal RNA
Source: RNAcentral